Molecule: ribosomal RNA, 301 nt
Filed under: uncultured bacterium
Lineage: Bacteria
Description: partial 16S ribosomal RNA
Rfam family: Bacterial small subunit ribosomal RNA
Source: RNAcentral
CAGUCGCCGCGGUAAUACAGAGGGUGCGAGCGUUAAUCGGAUUUACUGGGCGUAAAGCGUGCGUAGGCGGCUUCUUAAGUCGGAUGUGAAAUCCCUGAGCUUAACUUAGGAAUUGCAUUCGAUACUGGGAAGCUAGAGUAUGGGAGAGGAUGGUAGAAUUCCAGGUGUAGCGGUGAAAUGCGUAGAGAUCUGGAGGAAUACCGAUGGCGAAGGCAGCCAUCUGGCCUAAUACUGACGCUGUGGUACGAAAGCAUGGGGAGCAAACAGGAUUAGAUACCCCGGUAGUCCCUGUCUCUUAUAC